AUUGAACGCUGGCGGAAUGCUUUACACAUGCAAGUCGAACGGCAGCACGGACUUCGGUCUGGUGGCGAGUGGCGAACGGGUGAGUAAUGUAUCGGAACGUGCCCAGUCGUGGGGGAUAACGUAGUGAAAAUUACGCUAAUACCGCAUACGAUCUAUGGAUGAAAGCGGGGGAUCGCAAGACCUCGCGCGAUUGGAGCGGCCGAUAUCAGAUUAGGUAGUUGGUGGGGUAAAGGCCCACCAAGCCAACGAUCUGUAGCUGGUCUGAGAGGACGACAGCCACACUGGAACUGAGACACGGUCCAGACUCCUACGGGAGGCAGCGGUGGGGAAUUUUGGACAAUGGGCGAAAGCCUGAUCCAGCCAUUCCGCGUGCAGGAUGAAGGCCCUCGGGUUGUAAACUGCUUUUGUACAGAACGAAAAGGUUUCUACUAAUACUAGGAGCUCAUGACGGUACUGUAAGAAUAAGCACCGGCUAACUACGUGCCAGCAGCCGCGGUAA
RNAcentral lists this ribosomal RNA (499 nucleotides) under uncultured bacterium. RNAcentral describes it as "partial 16S ribosomal RNA". It matches the Rfam family "Bacterial small subunit ribosomal RNA", at positions 30 to 523 of the family's 1533-position model. The record is from RNAcentral.